RNAcentral lists this non-coding RNA (184 nucleotides) under Deltaproteobacteria bacterium. RNAcentral describes it as "6S RNA". It matches the Rfam family "6S / SsrS RNA". From Rfam's summary of the family: E. coli 6S RNA was the first non coding RNA to be sequenced, but its function was unknown until recently. It consists of 184 nucleotides that fold into an extended hairpin structure with a large single-stranded internal bulge. The record is from RNAcentral. RNAcentral also lists the same sequence under 1 other name. Lineage: Bacteria; Pseudomonadati; Myxococcota; Myxococcia.
UAUCCCCUGCCGGGUGCGUGAUGAGUUCAGAAAGUUCUGAACCAAUGCCGUUUAAUCGGGAGCAUGUGUUGGUUGAUACGGGUAUAUUCUGACGUAUUCAGAAAACCUGAAGGCAAUCCACAGUGCACCCACCUGUAUUAUGCAGGUUCAAGAUUUCAACUCACACGGCCAUGGCGGGGGGUGU